GAUGAACGCUGGCGGCGUGCCUAAUACAUGCAAGUCGAGCGAACGGACGAGAAGCUUGCUUUUCUGAUGUUAGCGGCGGACGGGGGGGAAACACUUGAUAAACCUCCUUUAAAACCUGGGAUAAUUUGGGGAAACCGGAGCUAAUACCGGAUAAUAUUUUGAACCCCAUGGUUCAAAAGUAAAAGACGGUUUUGCUGUCAUUUUUGGUUGGAUCCCGGCUGCAUUAGCUAGUUGUUAAGGUACCGGCUUACCAAGGCAACGAUGCAUAGCCGACCUGAGAGGGUGAUCGGCCACACUGGAACUGAGACACGGUCCAGACUCCUACGGGAGGCAGCAGUAGGGAAUCUUCCGCAAAGGGCGAAAGCCUGACGGAGCAACGCCGCGUGAGUGAUGAAGGUCUUCGGAUCGUAAAACUCUGUUAUUAGGGAAGAACAUAUGUGUAAGUAACUGUGCACAUCUUGACGGCACCUAAUCAGAAAGCCACGGCUAACUACGUG
This 497-nucleotide ribosomal RNA is filed under the name uncultured bacterium. RNAcentral's name for it is "partial 16S ribosomal RNA". It matches the Rfam family "Bacterial small subunit ribosomal RNA", at positions 28 to 507 of the family's 1533-position model. The record is from RNAcentral.